This 220-nucleotide ribosomal RNA is filed under the name uncultured bacterium. RNAcentral's name for it is "partial 16S ribosomal RNA". It matches the Rfam family "Bacterial small subunit ribosomal RNA", at positions 1281 to 1500 of the family's 1533-position model. The record is from RNAcentral.
CGGCGUCCCAGUUCGGAUUGCAGCCUGCAACUCGGCUGCAUGAAGCUGGAAUCGCUAGUAAUCGCGGAUCAGAAUGCCGCGGUGAAUACGUUCCCGGGUCUUGUACACACCGCCCGUCACACCAUAGGGAGCCGGAAAUGCCCGAAGUCAGUGGCCCAACCGCAAGGGGGAGCUGCCGAAGGCAGGUCUGGUAACUGGGGUGAAGUCGUAACAAGGUAGC